Molecule: ribosomal RNA, 576 nt
Filed under: Triticum aestivum (bread wheat)
Lineage: Eukaryota; Viridiplantae; Streptophyta; Magnoliopsida; Poales; Poaceae
Description: partial small subunit ribosomal RNA
Source: RNAcentral
AUGAAUAUCGCCCUUCUAUCCCGCUGGCUCUGGCACAUCUUGCAAGGCCAUGGUGGCAUCUGGCUUGAAAUCAUCCAGAACAAGUACCUGUGUGGUCAGCCACUUGCCUUUUGUCAGAGAUCUGGUGGCUCGCAGUUCUGGCAGUCGGUCAUCCAGCUGCUCCCUGUCCUUCGCAUCGAGACAUCCAUCUCAGUGGGGUCCGGAUCGGCGACGCUGUUCUGGUUUGACAGAUGGGCUGGAGAUCCCCCCUUUGCUGCGCGCUUUCCCGACCUCUUCCUCAUCACAGUAGACCCCUUGAUCUCUAUUGAGAAGGCCCUUAUUGGCCUAGGGAGCCUUGCUUUUCGGAGACCUUUUGCCCCCCCGGAGUCCACCGCUUGGCGUGAGUUACUGGACUGUGUUGCUCUCGACGAGCCUAUGGUGGACAGUGGCCCAGACCAGGUGAGAUGGCGGCUCGAACCAUCGGGCCAAUUCUCCACCAAAUCUCUGUACCAGGCCAUCGCUCCCUCCUCCGCCCCUCCCCCCUUUCGAGUGUGGUCCAUCCGCCUGCCCCUGAAAAUCCAGAUCUUCAUGUGGUAG